AUAGAACCAAGAACGCCAUAGUUUGAUGUGAUAGU
RNAcentral lists this non-coding RNA (35 nucleotides) under Trypanosoma brucei brucei. The record is from RNAcentral. Lineage: Eukaryota; Euglenozoa; Kinetoplastea; Trypanosomatida; Trypanosomatidae.